This 506-nucleotide ribosomal RNA is filed under the name uncultured bacterium. RNAcentral's name for it is "partial 16S ribosomal RNA". It matches the Rfam family "Bacterial small subunit ribosomal RNA", at positions 28 to 523 of the family's 1533-position model. The record is from RNAcentral.
GAUGAACGCUAGCGGCAGGCCUAACACAUGCAAGUCGAGGGGUAACUAGAGUGAUAGCAAUAUUACUUUGGCUAGACCGGCGCACGGGUGCGUAACACGUAUGCAACCUACCUUAUACUGGGGAAUAACUUCGAGAAAUCGGCGCUAAUACCCCAUAACACUGCGGAGAGGCAGCUACUUGCAGUUAACUCCACUGCGGUAUACGAUGGGCAGGCGUCUAAUUAGCAAGUUGGUGAGGUAACGGCUCACCAAGGCCACGAUUGGUAGGCGUGCUGAGAGGCUGAUCCCACACACAGGUAAUGAGACACGGACCAGACUCCUACGGGAGGCAGCAGUGAGAAAUAUUGCUCAAUGGACGAAAGUCUGACGCAGCCAUGCCGAGUGCAGGAGGACGGCCCUAUGGGUUGUAAACUGCUUUUGUACGGGAAUAAACCCUUCUACGUGUAGGAGGCUGAAGGUACCGUAAGAAUAAGCACCGGCUAACUCCGUGCCAGCAGCCGCCGUAA